RNAcentral lists this long non-coding RNA (383 nucleotides) under Mustela putorius furo (domestic ferret). RNAcentral describes it as "lncRNA (ENSMPUG00000031435.1)". Lineage: Eukaryota; Metazoa; Chordata; Mammalia; Carnivora; Mustelidae. The record is from RNAcentral.
GAGGGACCCAAGGCGGCCCGUUUCCAUCGGUCAGACACCAGGAGGGCUGUGUCGGCCGCCGUCUGCCUGCGACCUCAUUGCUUCGUCUGAGCAGCUCUGUGAAUGAAUCACCACCAAGAAUACACAGAGAGGCCUCAUGGCUUUCUGAGGGUCACACAGCUGACACGAGAGGUCCCUGGGGUGCACGCGAGCUUCACCCUAAUGUUACAGGAUGACCAGCAUGGUCUCAAAGCACUCAAACUCCCAAUUGGUCCGGAUCCAAACCCUCGCUCCGUCUCUCAGGCAGCGCUGCUGUGGGCAGUCCCCUCGCCUCUCAGGACUCUGAGCCUCACAGGUAAACGGUCAUAACGUGCCCUGUCUGUGCUCGGCACCGAGGGGGUUCA